Panthera uncia (snow leopard) is the source of this 1334-nucleotide long non-coding RNA. RefSeq lists it as uncharacterized. Lineage: Eukaryota; Metazoa; Chordata; Mammalia; Carnivora; Felidae. The transcript has 4 exons. The record is from RefSeq and is a predicted model, not a curated record.
CCAGGAAGUAGGGCCAAUCCCCAGGAGCAGGCAGCGGGGUCUCGGGGUCCGUGUGCCACGUGGGGAGAAGCGGUUCCCCCGCUUGGAGGGCGUUUGGUAGAGGCCAUGCGGCCUCCCCUCGGGCAAGGGUCCCAGCGGAUCCUGGAGAGCAGCCCCGUUUGCUGGUUUGGGGACAAAGACGCCAGAGUGGGGUGGCACCGGCCGUGUUGUGGUUUGCCUUAAUCUCUGAACCUCUGCCCUCGUGCGGUUACACGAACGUUUUCUGGGGCAACGUGGGACCACCGCUCAGCAACGUCCUCCCCAGAGAGUCGGCUGGAGUCCGCGCCAGGGGGCCUCUGAAGUGCGGGCUUUUGAAACACAGCGCAUCUGAGAUAAAACCAGGGAGGGAGGUGCGGCCCGGCAGGCAGCCGGCUGGGACACGGACAGGGUAGAGGCGGGGAGUGGACGGAGGCCUGAGACAAACGAGGGGUGCUCGAUCGAUCGCGGGUCUGUGAGCGCACAGAGCUCCCGGGGGUCGGCGAUGAGGGGGCUGGGCGAAGCCACGCCCACUCUCCCACGCGCACCUGCACUCGCACUGAUCCACCCCAGUCCGCUAAGCAGUGCCACCUAGUGGAGAACGGAGCCGUCACACCAAGCCCCGCCCAACAAAUUGUUACUGCGUGAAGAAAACAACGGAUUUGGGGGUUGCUAGUUUAUUAUCACAGAAAUUAAGCAAUGAGUUUCUGUGUUUGCCCUGACUGAUAAGUCGUGAACGGAAAUGAUUUGCAAUGACGCACCACUCCUGGAGGAAAACGGUUGAGGAGAGGAUUGAUUGUCAAAUGAGCACAGAGCCCCUGCUUUCCCCAUUGUUACCAUCCAGUGUCUACACCUGGGGACUCCGGUUUUUACCUCAGACAGCAGGACUCACCUACGAAGAUCUGGAGGGAUCCAGAGAACAAUCAUUUUAGCUUUCAGCAGGUUACAGGCCUCACGGCUAACACAUCGGCUGCACAAGCCGAGGAACCUGGGGAUCCCCCCCGGACGGCGCCGAAGUCCCGCCUGCAGGGGUUGCUGGACUAAUGAUCUGUCACUUUCUGUAAACACUCAUCUCAGACCCACGAACCCACAGGUUCAUUCGCUGAACCUUAAAGUUUCUGGACCCUUUCUUCUGCGAUGUCCAAUCCAUUAACUCACAUUGCGAUUGCUUGGAACUCAGCAGCAACAUAAGGAAAUAUUUAUGAAGCACAACGUUCCAGGAGAGGGAAGAAGCGUGCGGGGGACAGACAGACGCACGGUUCAGAGCAGCAUAAUUCACACUGUUCCGGGUGUUGCUGGAAAAGCACAGCAUCCCACAG